RNAcentral lists this long non-coding RNA (256 nucleotides) under Mytilus galloprovincialis (Mediterranean mussel). The record is from RNAcentral. Lineage: Eukaryota; Metazoa; Mollusca; Bivalvia; Mytilida; Mytilidae.
CCUCUGGUUUUAUCCAUUUGAAUGCCUUGAAAAAAUUUGCCCGGUGACCCCCAUUUUUCUUUUUGAAAAUCUUUUACAUGUAUAAUGAUAAGCCAUCUGUAAAAGUCUUAUAAAAUUUUAAUUACUUUUCAACAGUUUUUGAGAACUUCAGCUUGUCAAUGAUAAAGCUAUGAAAAGUCAAGAGAGAAUUUUAUUCCCGCCAAAAUUUCAAUGGCUCAUAUCUCGAAAACAAGCACGGUGACCUAUAUAUAUUUUU